RNAcentral lists this long non-coding RNA (10614 nucleotides) under Malus domestica (apple). RNAcentral's name for it is "long non-coding RNA (MDOM_LNC020475)". The record is from RNAcentral. Lineage: Eukaryota; Viridiplantae; Streptophyta; Magnoliopsida; Rosales; Rosaceae.
GGUGUUAAAGACCUUUUCCACUACCUCAAGGGUACAACGAAUUUGGGCUUGUUCUACACCCAUGAAUCCUCGAGAAGAGCCGCUGUCCCCUUCGAUCCUCGGGUUGAUUCUCGCCUUGUUGGUUAUGUAGAUGUUGGUUAUCUGUGUGACCCACAUAGGGCACGCUCUUAAACGGGCUAUGUCUUUAUUGUUAGAGACACCGUUAUAUCUUGGAGGUUUACCAAGCAAAUGCUAGUUGUGACUUUUUCGAACUAUGCUGAGAUUCUCGCCCUGCAUGAAGCAUUGUGUGAGUGCUUUUGGUUGAGAGCAGUCAUGGAACAUAUUCAAAGCACUAAUGGUCUUACUUCCGUCGUUGACCUUCGUACGAUGAUCUUUGAAGACAAUGCAGCAUGCAUCGAGUAGUUAAAGAAGGGAUACAUCAAGGGAGACAACACCAAGCACAUAAUGCCGAAGUUCUUUUAUUCUUACCAGCAACAACAACAUCAGAACAUUGAAGUUAAGCAAAUCUGUUCCUAGGACAACCUGGCCGAUCUCUUCACCAAGUCAUUGCCCAAGUCUACUUUUUAGAAGCUUGUCUAAGGAAUCGGUAUGCGUAAAUUAUCUGAGUUGAAUUGCUUGUAGUUCUCUUAUUUGGAAGUUAUAUUUAACUCAGGGGGAGUAUCCAGAAGCGUACUCACUUGAUCUUAAUGUACUCUUUUCCUACGAUUAAGAGCAUUUUUCCCACUAGGUUUUUGCUACCUAACAAGGUUUUAAUGAGGCACCCAUCCUGGGAUGAUCAUGCUCCGUUGAGUUCACUACUUUCGUCCUAUUUGACGAUUGUUUUAGACAUUAUGCAUACUUCUCACUUUUCUCCUUAGUCUAUGGGCUUUUACCUACCUUAGGUUUUACCAUAGCGAGGUUUUGUGAGUUUUACUACCCAUGCAUACUUUCUUUUAAAUUUGAGACUCGCAUUCACCCGUUGUGCCGACGACUUCAUCAAUUGUUCUAUCUCAUCUGCUGAAGAUCUGAUGUGAUGUUUUAUUUGAGUAUUUAAACACUUAAGGGUGAGUAUGCAGUUCUAUUAGAUUAGGAAUGUGAUUGUGUAAAUCCUAGUGUAUCCAGGCAUAUCUUUGAAUAUUCCCUUUAAUGGUUAAUAUCCUAUUAGAGUUCGUAAUCCUAUUAGGGUAAGGAUUUAACCUUCCCUACUACUAUAAAUAAAGGCAUGGUGGGGUGAGAUAAUACAUACCUCAAAAUUACGUCUCUCUCUUCUCUCUCUUUUGUCGUCGGCCUUGUCCCUCUCUAGUCCUAAAUACAGUUCAGUAAAUUAGGCCUACAGCAGGAAUUUUAUUUUUAGAAUUUGUGAAUUUUUAUAUAUCUUCUGUUUAUACCAUACUUAGGGCAUCCGUAUUUAGAUCUCAUAUAAAUACUCGGAGGACUCAAAUGUAAUUAUGUAAUAAAGGAAGGGGCAAAUAUGUAAUAAGUGAGGAGUCCUUAUUCUAUAAAAUGACCUCUCACUCUCCUCAUUAGGGGAAGUCAAUUCCUAGGCCCUCUCACCCUCAGAAGCUCUCUCUCACAAUCCUCUCAGAAAUACAAUAAUCAGUGUGGACGUAGCCCAAACAUUGAGGUGAACCACGAUACAUCUUGUGUUAUUUACUUUCUUGCAGAUUCACGGUCGGAUUUACGUUGUUCCAAGACCCCUCCGGUUUUAUGCAUCAACAUUUGGCGCCGUCUGUGGGAAUCGAACCCACAAAAAGUUGUGUCGGUUCUCUUUUAUUUUUUCACCUCCACCGUGAACCUGCACAACUACAAAACCCAUGUUUCCCGCUCCAACUCCCGGUCACAGCGGCAUCAAUGGAAACACAAUCACUCAUAUCUCUUUCUCUCCGUGCCCUCUAUAGAGUUUUAUAUAAGAAAAUCUUUUGCUUUCAUUAAACAAAGUUUUACAAGUCGGUAAACAAUAGAUUAAAGUAGCACAGACUCAGAGAAAGCUAGAGAGAGAAAGAGUAAGAGAGAGAGUGAGGGUUGAGUGAUUCUUUCUUCUGCUUGCAGAGAUGUUACAUAAACAAGCGGUAGAAAUAUACAAAUAUGUAUAAUCUGGGCAUUUGGGAUCAGAUCGAACUUGCAACUUGUUCAUCUUUCAUUACGCACUUCACAUUGUAUUCCGACGAUCGAGUUUUCUCAUCAUCCAGAGUCGACCCAAGAUCACAUGCUUUGACUUAAAUCUCAACCUUUGAUUUAAUCUUGCUUCUCCAGGAAGCCAUGGUCUCCUCCGCCAACAUGAAGAAAAUAAUAGGCGACCUCGCUAAAUCCUGUAUGCACCACGAUCAACACACAGUGAGUGAGCUUCACAAACCUCAGAAAAUGGUGAACAACGAGUAGUCGACGGGUUACGCCACCUCUACCUACGGGAUCUAACGGGUCGACCCGGGGUCCUUCUCACGGUCUCGGAUCUCGGAUGCGUCCACGGGCUCGCGGGUCUUUCUAAUGCCAUGGCCAAUGCUUGGCCCAUGGUGAUGAUCUUGGGUUCGUGCGACCAAAAAGAUUUCGACCGCGGAGAUUUCUAGGAGCUCGAUCAGACCGCCAAAGUAGCUCAACCAAAGCAAAAGGUUUCGUUUAUACUUCUCGCAGGCGCUGCAGAUCAUCACACCAAAAACAGCCUUAUCAAGCAGCAGUACGUCCAAAGGCAUUGAGCUUCAUGACGAUGACGCUGAAGAGGAUGCUGAGGCUAUGGCGGCGAUUCGGGCCUUGAUGUGUGUGAUUCGGUCUAGUGAGGUCACCAAUAUGAUGGAGCUCGAAAUUGAACUCAAGAAGCUGCGAAUUUAUGUUUUAUUAAAAUAUUCAUCAACAUGAGCCUCAAACUCGAGAAGCUAGGCGUAGAGACCAGAUUCAGGCAGAAUGGAGAAACACCAGAAGGGCGUACUGGUGGGUAUCAAUUUUGCAUGUAAGGGCAUGGCAGAAAAAGAAGGGCUAUUUUUGGUUAAUGUUCAUAGUGACGCCUGACUAGUCUGUUACCUUAUACUUUAGUGCCAGAUUGGAGUUCGACAAGGCUGACAAUAUUCCAUAUGGUUUUGGGCUGUUCAAGCAGCAGUCAUUCUAAAGAAAAGCAAGAAAAGCAAUGGCAAUUAAAAGCUUAAAGUCAAAUGGUCUCCAAAGGCCAUAGAACAUAGGCGGACAAAGAUAUUUACGGAGGACCAGAGAUGAUUGCGGGGGACUCGUGGACCAUGCAAAAAGGAAAAGCAGAAAGGAAAAGAGAAGUAAAAUCAAAAGCUUAUGCAGCCAUCUGCCAUACUACUACCCAACCUUCAAUUGUAUAGAUACUAUCCCAUUAUCUAACCAUAUGCCCUACCCACCUUCUGCAGCAGCUUUUUUGAAUGAUGUAAUUUACUUUUCUUAUCUUUUGCAGACAUCUGUAUAAACCCCAUCAGAGGGUAAUAAUAAUAAUAAAAAAAAAACAGCAAGCCCAAAAUAAUGGGCUGGAAUGUUAUGUGGAGGGUGAAUGCCCAUAUGCCCAAAAGAGCUAGGCCCUAUGGCUCUAAAAUUAUUCGGCAACCUGCCGCUAUUAUCACCAACUAGGUGAUCAAAAGUACGUCUAGUACUCCAAAAUUAUACAUAAGCAUUACUCAUGUCAAUCAUACAUAAACAUACAUGAGCAUUACUCAUGUCAAUCAUACAUAAACAUUCAUGAGCAUCACUCAUGCCAAUCAUACAAAAACAUUCAUGAACAUCACUCAUGUCAACAUUUAUGAGCAUCACUCAUGUCAACAUUCAUGAGCAUCACUUAUGUCAACAUUCAUGAGCAUCACUCAUGUCAAUAUUCAUGAGCAUCACUCAUAUAAACAUUCAUGAGCAUCACUCAUGUCAAUCAGCUUCAAAAGCUUCAUUUACAGAGCCUUAGCUUCAAAAGCUUCAUUUACAGAGCUCUAGCUUCAAAAGCUUCAUCAGAGCUUUAGCUUCAAAAGCUUUAUUUACAGAGCUCUAGCUUUAAAGCUUCAUUUAUAGAGCUCUAGCUUCAAAAGCUUCACCAGAGCUCUAGCUUCAAAAGCUUCAUUUACAGAGCUCUAGCUUUAAAAGCUUCAUUUACAGAGCUCCAGCUUCGAGAGUUCCAGCUUCAAAAGCUUCAUUUACAGAGUUUAAGCUUCAAAGCUUCACUUACAAAGCUUCCCCUUCAAAGCUGCAGUGCAGGGUAUACAAAUAUUGCCUUCGAACAACCGCCACUUCGGCCCAUACAUGGAUUCAAUUUGAAGUCUCCAGCCAACAGACUUUAUUGACCGAAGACUUGGGGGACUACAUUAUGUACCAUAUAUUGGGCCUCAACUGGGCCUCAUGAAAAAUACUUAGGGGACUUAGCCCAUUAUUUAUGUACUGAGGAGCGAACCUUUAUUCUAUAAAAUGGACUCCUUCACUUUCAUUAGAGAGCACCCAUUAUUCAUGUACUGAAGAGCGAGCCCUUAUUUUAUAAAAGGGACUCCUUCACCAUCAUUAGAGCAUCGCCGCCUGUUGAGCAACUGCCUCACCGCGAGCAUCACUCCUAACCCAUCAUUUAUGUAUUGAAGAGCGAGCUUUUAUUCUAUAAAACGGACUCCAUCACCAUCAUUAGAGAGCAUCGCCGUCUGCUGAGCAACUGCCUUGCCCCGAGUAUCACUCCUAGCCCAUCAUUUAUGUAUUGAGGAACGAGCCCUUAUUCUAUAAAAAGGACUCCCUCACUAUCAUUAGAGAGCAUCGCCGCCUGCUGAGCAAUUGCCUCGCUCGAGCAUCAACUCUAGCCCAUCAUUUUUGUAUUAAGGAGCGAGCCCUUAUUCAAUAAAAGGGACUCCCUCACCUUCAACGCCACAAGGCGAGCCAACCAAGGUAACAUAAGCCAUAAGCAGAGCAGCCUCGCAACAUGUGCUACUUCUGGUUGAGCAUCAUUUCAGAUUGGGCACCGCCUCAUAUUGAGUAUCAGUUCUAAACGACAUCUAGUUACUUCGGCCCACACAUAGACUGAAUUUCAAGUCUCCAGCCAAAAGACUCUCUUGAUUGAAGACUUGAGGGACUACUGUUUAUACCAUACUUAGGGCCUCCGUAUUUAGAUCUCGUAUAAAUACUCGGGGGACUCAAAUGUAAUUAUGUAAUAAAGGAAGGGGCAAAUAUGUAAUACUUAAGGAGUCCUUAUUCUAUAAAAUGACCCCUCACUCUCCUCAUUAAGGGAGGCCAAUUCCUAGGCCCUCUCACCCUCAUAAGCUCUCUCUCACAAUCCUCUCAGAAAUACAAUAAUCAGUGUGGACGUAGCCCAAACAUUGGGGGGAACCACGAUACAUCUUGUGUUAUUUACUUUCUUGCAGAUUCACAUCGUUCCAAGACCUCUCCGGUUUUAUGCAUCAACAUCUUCUUUAUAUAUAAAGCUAGUAGCCCCAAUUUGGGGUCACGGCUUCACCAAAAAAUUUUGUACAAAAAUGCUCUCAAAACAAAAAUGUUUAAAAGCAGCCUAAAAUAAUGCAUCAAAUAAUGCAAGGGUAGUUUGGUAAUUUUGUAAUAAAAAUAUAAUAUAAAUAUAAGUGGGAAGAGAGAAAAGAAUAAAAAAAAAAGAAAAAGGAAAACUAAUGAAAAGGGCUUGAAAACUUUGAGUUUUAACGAUAAAGACAAAAUAAAGGGUAAAGUGAAUAGUACCAGGAUUGACUUUUUAGUGUAAAAAUGUGGUUUUUCGUUAAAGUGAACAGUAACGGGAGCUUUUCGUUAAAGUUCCCUAAAAAAAUGAAAGGAUGAGUGAAAAUUGCUGGUGCCCACGUGAAGGGGAAACGAAAAUAUAAAAAAAAAAGGAAAAUCAUGAAGGUUGUGUGAUGGUGUCAAAAGGAAAUGAAAAAAAAUGGAGCAGUUGAGCAUGAGUAGAAAUCGUGAGAUAGUUAUCCACGUUGCAACUAUACAACUUUUUGAAUUUAUAAGAGCUAUGACUUAUUAUGUAAAGUUGCAAUUGUUGUUAUCCACGGGUUUCUUCUAACAUGGUCUAAUAUUAUUCAUUGAGUCCAACUGUACAACUCUUUGAAUUUAUUAGAGCUAUGACUUAUUAUGUAAAUUACAAUUGUUGUAUCGAAUCAUCAUACCAUCAGUUGUUUAUUAAAUAUUAUUUUCUCUAUUUUUAAACACGUUCAAAACAUCUUAAGAGGUGCGUAGCAUUGGUGAUAAAAAAGAAAAUAAUGAAAUAAAAAUAUUGAAGGAAUUCACGCAUAUAAAUACAUCUAAAAAGUGUAAGUCGCACCUAACUCACCGUGAUUAAAAAAUACCUUUUGCACACGGUUGUUUAUUAAAUAUUAUUUUCUCUAUUUUAAACACUUAAGAGGAGCGUAGUGCCAAUUAAAAAAAAAAGACCUUUUGCACGUGCAUAAUAAUGUGAUUCAAUUAGUUGUCAAAUGAUAAUUUUUUUUCUUUGAACAAUCGAUGUUCUCUACACAAAUGGAGAGGGGGGUGGGAUUAGCCUCAUAAUGGGCUAUCAAUAAUGUAAUUCAAUCAGUUGUUUAUUAAAUAUUAUUUUCUCUAAUCUUAAUGUAAAUUCAACAGAAUGUAGAUGGAAAUUGAAAGACUGCUUUUAUUAUGUGGAUUCAGCUACUUUGAUUGUUUUAUCAGGUGUUUCUUCUAGCAUGGUCUAAUAUUAUUCAUUUAUUUCAAAUAUUUGACUUUCUUUUUGUCAUAAAAAAAAUUAUGAAAGCAAUUCACGCAUAUAAAUACAUUUAAAACGUGUAAGUAGAAAGUAGUAUGUCGUGAUUCCAAAAUGUGAAUUUAUAUAAACACAAAAUGUAAGGAGACUACAUAGUUGGCCUAUAUGUCUUGCUCUCCUAAGCUCCUUAUUUGAAGACUUGUGAGGUCUAGAUUCAUAUUAGCCUUAUAUUAAUUUAGAUCAAACACUUAAAAUAUUUGACAACUUAAUAAAGUAAAACAAGAAAAUGAGUUUGUAUAGUUCAUGGAUUUGAAGUUGGUUUUGAUUUUUUUUUUGAAUAAACGAUAUUAUCUACAAUAAGGGGUGGUGGUGGGCUUAGCCUCACAAUGCGCUAGCAAUAAUGUGGUUCAAAUUCGCCUUUGGCGAGAAUCAAACCUAAGACCUCUCACUUGCAAGUGAAGAGGAAUACCAGUAGACUGUAGUACUAACUGGCAAUUGGUUUUGAUUUAUUAAGUUAUCAAAUAUUUGAAACCUUGGGAUCUAAAUUAAUAUAAUUCUGUGGCUAAUAAGAAUUUGGACCUCACAUGUCACAUCCCGACUCGGGCCGCCACCACAUCUCGGGCUCGACUCUACUAUAGCACGAUAUUGUCCGCUUUAGGGUGUGGUCGGGGCCCAAAACGGACAAUAUCGUGCUACGGUGGAGUCGAGCCCGGGAUGUGACAUCGCAAGUCCUCCAAAUGAGAACCUUACGAGAGCAGGACUAUUUUGUCUCUCUAACAUUUUUUUAAUAUAUAAAAUAUGGUGUUAAGUAUAUUGGUGGCAGAGGUGAUGGUGGGGGGUUGCGGUGGCGGUAGAGACCCCAAGUGGGGUGGGAGUGGUAGUGAUGGGCACUAUUUACAUGAAAUUUAAACUCUCACUCAUGGAAUUUAGAAAUAACAACUAUUUACAUAAAAUUUAAACCUGAAAAUUUGAGGUUACAAAAUUUAAGUUUUUUUUUCGCACGAAAAUUCUAAAUUAUAUGUUAAUGAAUCUAAACCAGUCAAACCUGAAAUAAAACCAAACCAAACUGAUUUAGGAGUGUUUAAAUUGAGAUUUCGAAAGAUUUUAAAGCAGCUAUAAAUCCAUGGUGUUUUAUGAAGUUCCAUAACUCUCAUGUCUAGGAAUUUUAGAGGUAGAGGCCUGAUUUCCCAAAGCCUAAAAAAACACUACAAAUGUGACAACCCGUCCCUACUUUUACAAUUUUGUUAAUUUUAAAAGAGUGAAUUGACAAAAAUGCCCCUAGAGGUGAGGGCAUUGACUUUCAUUGACCAGAUUAUAGUGACAUGUACAAAAUGUUAUUUUAGCGUAUCCUUGUAGUACUCGACAAUACGAAUGCGUGGGUUCAAGCGGAAUCGAAAUCGGAGCUACAGUUAAAAUUUUACGAAACUAUGAUUGUAAAUGGCAUAUUAGUAAUUCCAUUUUGAAAGAUAUUUUGCAUUGCUUUGUAAGCCAGUGGGGCCCACAACCCACUCUCUCCCUAUUCCCCUGUGUUUUUUCCUUCCCAUUUUCCUGGACGUCUCUCUCUUUCUUUUCAAACUUUCUCUCUCACACACCUAACUCUCUCUUCUUCCUUUUCUCCCUCAUUUCUCUGUUUUGCAGAGAUCAACACCACACAUCACUCGCCAUUUUCUCUGGGAACCAUCAUCCUCACAUUUUCUUGGGUAGAUAGGAAUCUAACCAUUAUUGGAGCCCUUGUCUUCCUCACCCACUGCACACGGAAUGCACAUAAGCACAAGAGAUUUUAGUGAAGGUAAGUUUAAAAAUGGACUUAAAUCACCCUAGUUUGGACUUUUGGGUAAAAUUCUGAGUUUAUGCAUGUGUUUUGGUGAUGGUUUGAACACAGAAACAUCGAGGGGAGUUACGAUCUGUGGCCGUCGAGGCACUUUCAGGUCACUUUUCCAGUGAACUCCGCCCAUGACACGACCUCAAAUGGGUAUAGACCUAUUCCCUACACUUCUAGCUUCACAUAGGCUUUUGUAUCAUUGAAUUUGGUGGAGAAUUGAGCUCGAUAAAAGCUCUGGAAAAUGGACCAAAAACCUGCAAAAUGUAAGCCUUUGCGAGGAAUGCGAGUACGAUGGUACUCGCAGGCGCGUGGGAGUGCGUGGGCUCACAUUGGUCGUCGGCGCGUGCGGCGGCGCUAGGAAGAACCCGAGGUCCCUCCUCAGGUUUCUCGACGUGCUGGACCCGAAUCCGCCCUCCAUUUUCUGAAAUUUGAUCAUUUUAAAAUAGUUUCUUUAUUAGCCAUACUUUCUAUGAAAAUGCAUUUAUACAUACGUUACGUAUUUACAUAAAUGGUUUCGUUUCUAGGCGAAACGUAUCGCAAAGACUCUCGAUGCUACGAGGCUGGUUCAACUCGACGACAUGAUCUAUGAGUGUGUAUUUUCUUUGAUAUAUAUAUAUAUAUAUAUACAUGUUUAGUUUCCAUAUAUACAUUUAAUAAUGAAUUUUCUAUAUGAAUGCCCCAAUCUUCGACUCCUAUGUGAUGCAAUAGGCAAUUUCGACUCCUAUGUGAUGCGCCUAGCCCCAGUCUUCAUGUGAUUGUAGUACUAGAGUGUAUAUCAUUGUUACACCCAAUCCUAUUCAUGUCAGAAUACCUCUGCAUGAACUCGUGUGUCAACAUGUGUCGAUGAGCACUCAUUAUGAUAUGUUUACUUAUGCAAGAUUUUGUGAAUACGGAAGUCAUGUGCUUACUUACGAAAUAUAAUGUCGUAUUGAACUCUUGAGAUAUUGCUGGCUGCGGUAAGUAUUUUCAUACUAUACGUAGUAUGUAUAUUUUGGAAACUAUACUUGUUUUACAGUAAUGAGUUAUAAUGUUUUCAGAAAGGUUUUUAUAAAACUCUAUUUUCAGGCUAACUCACCCUUGUUUUUCGCCCCUCCAGGUUUAGUAGCUGUGCUUUUAUGUCAACAAGGAUUCUUGGUAAUUUGGACAUUAAUGAUUACCAUCGAUGGUAUAAUUCUCAAUCUACUAUAUUGUACUUUACUUAUGCUUUGACAUCAUGUGUGAAAUGGGUUCACUCCUACUCACUAGCGCACUCUUAUAUUUAGGCACUUUUAGGUUUAAAUUUAUUCACAUUUUCCAUAUCACUACACUUUAUGGCUUCGUCACCCUUCGGGUGUCGGCCAUCACAACUCGAUUCGGAGUCCAAGUGGACAUUCCGAGUCAGGUAGUGUCAAUAAAACUUCUCUAAAUCUACUAAAAUCUUCAUCUUUGAAAAUACUUUAAAAUCCAAUCAUAAUUGAAUACAUAUAGAGUUCUAUAAACUACUUUAAAAUCUGGACUAAAUACUCUUUGGUUUCUAUAGAGUUUAUAAACUCUUUUAAAUCUUGAUUAUAUACCUGUGGACUUCCAUGCAUUCAUUUAAAAUUUUGAUUAAAUAAAUGUGAAUUUGUAAACUCUUUUAAGCUUUUAAUUGAGUACAUCUCCUUAAUUUGGUCCAGUUCACUUUUAUACUCUACAAAGCCAAAAUAAACCAAUUUGGUAUAAAUAUAAGGGCAUUUCUAAGAUGCAGACAUUAACAACGCACCUUGCGUAUGGACCGCAGUCGAACGGUGGUGAUUUGUUGAGCUCGCGAGUAGAUCUGAGUUGUUGUGACCCUGUAUAAUUAAAACAUUUAAUUUUUUUUAUUUGGUGGGUAUGUAUUUGUCGGAGAGAAAGUAGGAGGCAAAGAGCUGAGGGAGGGAUAUGUUCAAACAUUGAAGAGGGAAAGAAAAAAAGGCGGAGACAUGGAGCUGGGGUGAGGAUUGAUUCCAAUUGGGUUGAAGAUGUGCUGCGACUGUGACCCAUUAAUCUUAUACCUUUAACUUUUAUUGUUCACAGGGGUGUUUCUAUCGGCAAAAGCGAGGGAGUUGGUGAUGUUGGAGAUAUGUGAUGUGAUAUAAAAUAGCACACAAAUUAAACCCUCUUUUUGAUAGUUGUAGUAUGUGUAAGUAGGGAUCGUUCUAGGCCGGGGAUUAGGAGGGAUGCUAAU